This 413-nucleotide long non-coding RNA is filed under the name Capsella rubella. RNAcentral's name for it is "long non-coding RNA (CRUB_LNC002407)". Lineage: Eukaryota; Viridiplantae; Streptophyta; Magnoliopsida; Brassicales; Brassicaceae. The record is from RNAcentral.
AAAGUCGCCGGAAAGUGACUAUAGGUAUAUGCUUUAGCAAAAGUCGGGUUUGUAUGUUUUGGUCAGUCGAGAGCCUUUAAUUCAAAUCAGGCGUGGCAAAGAAAGAAACAACGUAACAUGUAACUUUCCGGUAACGAGAAAAAAUAGGGAACCAACAAAAGAUAUUAUUAAUGAGAAGAAGGGAUCAUGAAAGCUAAGUAACCUGAAGAAACAUGAGCCACUUGGAGAACUUCUCUUUGGAGCUCCAUCAACUUUUCAAACCCUCCAACAAGUCACCCUUCUUUUUGGGUACUUUUAAACAUGGAUACAUGUCUAUCGAAAUGGUAGCUAGUUUAAAACUACUCGUGAUGAGUAAUUUAAUGUGACAGACCAGAGAUGUCUUGAAGUGGUUCUUGACAGGACAAGAACACAAU